GACGAACGCUGGCGGCGUGCCUAAUACAUGCAAGUCGAACGCACUCUCGUUUAGAUUGAAGGAGCUUGCUCCUGAUUGAUAAACAUUUGAGUGAGUGGCGGACGGGUGAGUAACACGUGGGUAACCUGCCCUAAAGUGGGGGAUAACAUUUGGAAACAGAUGCUAAUACCGCAUAAAACCUAAACACCGCAUGGUGUAGGGUUGAAAGAUGGUUUCGGCUAUCACUUUAGGAUGGACCCGCGGUGCAUUAGUUAGUUGGUGAGGUAAAGGCUCACCAAGACCGUGAUGCAUAGCCGACCUGAGAGGGUAAUCGGCCACACUGGGACUGAGACACGGCCCAGACUCUACGGGAGCAGCAGUAGGGAAUCUUCCACAAUGGACGAAAGUCUGAUGAGCAACGCCGCGUGAGUGAAGAAGGUUUUCGGAUCGUAAAACUCUAGUUGUUGGAGAAGAAUGUAUCUGAUAGUAACUGAUCAGGUAGUGACGGUAU
Molecule: ribosomal RNA, 490 nt
Filed under: uncultured bacterium
Lineage: Bacteria
Description: bacterial SSU rRNA
Rfam family: Bacterial small subunit ribosomal RNA
Source: RNAcentral